GGCCGGAUAGACAAGUGGAAAGUCGAGAGUCUGCAAAACUCUUAUGCGAGGGUUCGAUUCCCUCUCCGGCCUCAA
This 75-nucleotide transfer RNA is filed under the name Candidatus Collierbacteria bacterium RIFOXYA2_FULL_46_20. RNAcentral describes it as "tRNA-Cys". It matches the Rfam family "tRNA". Rfam says of the family: Transfer RNA (tRNA) molecules are approximately 80 nucleotides in length. Their secondary structure includes four short double-helical elements and three loops (D, anti-codon, and T loops). Further hydrogen bonds mediate the characteristic L-shaped molecular structure. tRNAs have two regions of fundamental functional importance: the anti-codon, which is responsible for specific mRNA codon recognition, and the 3' end, to which the tRNAs corresponding amino acid is attached (by aminoacyl-tRNA synthetases). tRNAs cope with the degeneracy of the genetic code in two manners: having more than one tRNA (with a specific anti-codon) for a particular amino acid; and 'wobble' base-pairing, i.e. permitting non-standard base-pairing at the 3rd anti-codon position. The record is from RNAcentral. Lineage: Bacteria; Candidatus Collieribacteriota. RNAcentral also lists the same sequence under 4 other names.